RNAcentral lists this long non-coding RNA (342 nucleotides) under Setaria viridis. Its description in RNAcentral is "long non-coding RNA (SVIR_LNC000861)". Lineage: Eukaryota; Viridiplantae; Streptophyta; Magnoliopsida; Poales; Poaceae. The record is from RNAcentral.
GCUCUGUGAACUAUUUUGGUGGUUGGUGGAUGGCCCCAUCUGUCUACAUGAAAUUGGACUAAGAUCAAAAGGUGAUGGUGUUCGUGAUCAAGUGUUUGAAAGUACUAAUUUCAUACCUAGUACGGGAUGGGGAAGCCUAGUACCUGAUUGAACUAGGGCGUGGCUUAUACCCAUGCUGUCCCUGGAACGAGGUUCCCAUGGUGCAUCAUGUGGGUGCAAGUGCGGUCACAGUGUAGUAAUAGGUCGGGACUGUGGAGCAUUGCAUGCCAAGGGAAGUUUGGACCUGACACGCGCCUGGGAAUUGAUGGGGACGGCUGACAAAGGAAGCGACCUUCAUGGUGC